RNAcentral lists this ribosomal RNA (508 nucleotides) under uncultured bacterium. RNAcentral's name for it is "bacterial SSU rRNA". It matches the Rfam family "Bacterial small subunit ribosomal RNA", at positions 1022 to 1529 of the family's 1533-position model. The record is from RNAcentral.
GGGGACAAAGUGACAGGUGGUGCAUGGUUGUCGUCAGCUCGUGUCGUGAGAUGUUGGGUUAAGUCCCGCAACGAGCGCAACCCUUAAGCUUAGUUGCCAGCAUUAAGUUGGGCACUCUAAGUUGACUGCCGGUGACAAACCGGAGGAAGGUGGGGAUGACGUCAAAUCAUCAUGCCCCUUAUGAUUUGGGCUACACACGUGCUACAAUGGACAAUACAAAGGGCAGCUAAACCGCGAGGUCAUGCAAAUCCCAUAAAGUUGUUCUCAGUUCGGAUUGUAGUCUGCAACUCGACUACAUGAAGCUGGAAUCGCUAGUAAUCGUAGAUCAGCAUGCUACGGUGAAUACGUUCCCGGGUCUUGUACACACCGCCCGUCACACCACGAGAGUCUGUAACACCCGAAGCCGGUGGAGUAACCAUUUAUGGAGCUAGCCGUCGAAGGUGGGACAAAUGAUUGGGGUGAAGUCGUAACAAGGUAGCCGUAUCGGAAGGUGCGGUUGGAUCACCUC